This 393-nucleotide long non-coding RNA is filed under the name Setaria viridis. RNAcentral's name for it is "long non-coding RNA (SVIR_LNC005159)". The record is from RNAcentral. Lineage: Eukaryota; Viridiplantae; Streptophyta; Magnoliopsida; Poales; Poaceae.
GGACUGCGGCGAGAGCACCCUGCUGGGAUGGAAGAACGAGGCAGGGGACACAGCCUUGCACCUGGCGGCAAGGCACGGACAUGGCGCUGCGGUGGAGGUACUGGUCUCGGAGGCGGCAGAGUCGGCCGCCGAGCUGAACAACGCAGGCGUGUCGGCGCUGUACUUGGCGGUAAUCAGCAGGUCGGAGCAAGCAGUCAGAGCGAUUAUGACUUGCAGGGACGUGUCAUCUGCCGGGCCGAGCUCCCAGAAUGCUCUGCACGCAGCCGUCUUCCAGAGCUCAGGUUAGGUUCUUCAUUGUUUGUUUCAUGUCCAGCAUUGUAUUUUGCAUUCAUAGAUAUAAGAGAUUAGUAUUAAUACUCUCAAAAAAGAAUAUAAUUAAUGCAUAUAAGAAGU